CACGUAGGGUGCGAGCGUUGUCCGGAAUUAUUGGGCGUAAAGAGCUCGUAGGCGGUGUGUCGCGUCGGCCGUGAAAACCUGCAGCUUAACUGUGGGCUUGCGGUCGAUACGGGCAUCACUGGAGUUCGGCAGGGGAGACUGGAAUUCCUGGUGUAGCGGUGAAAUGCGCAGAUAUCAGGAGGAACACCGGUGGCGAAGGCGAGUCCCUGGACGAUACCUGACACUGAGGCACGAAAGCCAAGGGAGCAAACAGG
This 254-nucleotide ribosomal RNA is filed under the name uncultured bacterium. RNAcentral's name for it is "partial 16S ribosomal RNA". It matches the Rfam family "Bacterial small subunit ribosomal RNA", at positions 524 to 776 of the family's 1533-position model. The record is from RNAcentral.